Molecule: ribosomal RNA, 490 nt
Filed under: uncultured bacterium
Lineage: Bacteria
Description: partial 16S ribosomal RNA
Rfam family: Bacterial small subunit ribosomal RNA
Source: RNAcentral
AUUGAACGCUGGCGGCAGGCCUAACACAUGCAAGUCGAACGGUAACAGGAAGCAGCUUGCUGCUUCGCUGACGAGUGGCGGACGGGUGAGUAAUGUCUGGGAAGCUGCCUGAUGGAGGGGGAUAACUACUGGAAACGGUAGCUAAUACCGCAUAAUGUCGCAAGACCAAAGAGGGGGACCUUCGGGCCUCUUGCCAUCGGAUGUGCCCAGAUGGGAUUAGCUUGUUGGUGGGGUAACGGCUCACCAAGGCGACGAUCCCUAGCUGGUCUGAGAGGAUGACCAGCCACACUGGAAGUGAGACACGGUCCAGACACCUACGGGAGGCAGCAGUGGGGAAUAUUGCGCGAUGGGCGCAAGCCGGAUGCAGCCAUGCCGCGUGUAUGAAGAAGGCCUUCGGGUUGUAAAGUACUUUCAGCGGGGAGGAAGGGAGUAAAGUUAAUACCUUAGCUCAUUGACGUUACCCGCAGAAGAAGCACCGGCUAACUCCGUG